AUGACCAGUUCUAAUGAGCUCAAGCUGACCCAGCCACCCGAGGUUGUCAUUUCCUCAGUGAAGUUCAGCCCCAACACCUCCCAGUUCCUGCUUGUCUCCUCCUGGACAGGUCACUGCUCUUCUACAAUGUGCAGAACAUGUGCUUAGGUAAUAGCGCUUGCUCUCAGGUCCAUGCGCUCAGGUACCAGCACACUGGCACCAUCCUGGACUGAGCCUUCUACGAUCCAGCACAGGCCUGGAGAGGACUAGAUCAUCAAUUGAAAAUGCAUGAUUUGAACACUGAUCAAGAAAAUCUUGUUGGGACCCAUGAUGCCCCCAUCAGAUGUAUUGAAUACUGUCCGGAAGUGAACGUGAUGGUUACUGGAAGUUGGGAUCAGACAGUUAAAUUGUGGGAUCCCAGAAAUCCUUGUAAUGCCAGGACCUUCUCUCAGCCUGAAAAGGUAGAUACCUUCUCAGUGCCUGGAGACCAGCUGAUUGUGAGAACAGCGGGCUGCAGAGUGUUGGUGUGGGGCUUAUGGAACAUGGAUUACGUGCAGCAGAGCAGGGAGUCCAGCCUGAAAUACCAGACUCACUGCAUAUAAGCGUUUCCAAACAAGCAGAGUUGUGUAUUAAGCUCUAUAGAAGGCGGAGUGGCAGUUGAAUACUUGGCCCAAGCCCUGAGGUACAGAAGAAAUAUGCCUUCAAAUGUCACAGACUAAAAGAAAAUAAUAUUGAGCAGGUUUACCCAGUCAAUGCCAUUUCUUUCCAGAAUAUCCAUAAUACAUUUGCCAUAGGUGGUUCUGAUGGCUUUGUAAAUAUUUGGAAUCCAUUUAACAAAAAGCAACUGUGCCAGUUCCAUUGGUACCCCAUAAGCAUUGCAUCACUUGCCUUCAGUAAUGAUGGGACUACGCUUGCAAUAGCAUCAUCAUAUAUUAUGAAAUGGAUGACACGGAACAUCCUGAAGAUGGUAUCUUCAUUCACCAAGUGACAGAGGCAGAAACAAAACCCAAGUGCACCUAA
This 999-nucleotide long non-coding RNA is filed under the name Homo sapiens (human). Its description in RNAcentral is "non-protein coding lnc-THAP5-5:1". Lineage: Eukaryota; Metazoa; Chordata; Mammalia; Primates; Hominidae. The record is from RNAcentral.